This 1083-nucleotide ribosomal RNA is filed under the name Veillonella parvula. RNAcentral describes it as "bacterial SSU rRNA". It matches the Rfam family "Bacterial small subunit ribosomal RNA", at positions 1 to 1000 of the family's 1533-position model. Lineage: Bacteria; Bacillati; Bacillota; Negativicutes; Veillonellales; Veillonellaceae. The record is from RNAcentral.
UCAAUCAAAACGAUUGAACAUAUGCCAGAGUGCGGGUUUUGACAUAGUCAAAACCAACCAUAAUUCAAAGCUACUUCAAUGUAGCGACAACAAAAACAAAUGAGCUAUUCAAAUAGCUUCAAGAUAUCUUGGAAGCUUGCUUCUAUCAAUCUUAGUGGCGAACGGGUGAGUAACGCGUAAUCAACCUGCCCUUCAGAGGGGGACAACAGUUGGAAACGACUGCUAAUACCGCAUACGAUCUAAUCUCGGCAUCGAGGAUAGAUGAAAGGUGGCCUCUACAUGUAAGCUAUCACUGAAGGAGGGGAUUGCGUCUGAUUAGCUAGUUGGAGGGGUAACGGCCCACCAAGGCGAUGAUCAGUAGCCGGUCUGAGAGGAUGAACGGCCACAUUGGGACUGAGACACGGCCCAGACUCCUACGGGAGGCAGCAGUGGGGAAUCUUCCGCAAUGGACGAAAGUCUGACGGAGCAACGCCGCGUGAGUGAUGACGGCCUUCGGGUUGUAAAGCUCUGUUAAUCGGGACGAAAGGCCUUCUUGCGAAUAGUGAGAAGGAUUGACGGUACCGGAAUAGAAAGCCACGGCUAACUACGUGCCAGCAGCCGCGGUAAUACGUAGGUGGCAAGCGUUGUCCGGAAUUAUUGGGCGUAAAGCGCGCGCAGGCGGAUAGGUCAGUCUGUCUUAAAAGUUCGGGGCUUAACCCCGUGAUGGGAUGGAAACUGCCAAUCUAGAGUAUCGGAGAGGAAAGUGGAAUUCCUAGUGUAGCGGUGAAAUGCGUAGAUAUUAGGAAGAACACCAGUGGCGAAGGCGACUUUCUGGACGAAAACUGACGCUGAGGCGCGAAAGCCAGGGGAGCGAACGGGAUUAGAUACCCCGGUAGUCCUGGCCGUAAACGAUGGGUACUAGGUGUAGGAGGUAUCGACCCCUUCUGUGCCGGAGUUAACGCAAUAAGUACCCCGCCUGGGGAGUACGACCGCAAGGUUGAAACUCAAAGGAAUUGACGGGGGCCCGCACAAGCGGUGGAGUAUGUGGUUUAAUUCGACGCAACGCGAAGAACCUUACCAGGUCUUGACAUUGAUGGACAGAAC